CUACGGGUGGCUCCAGUGGGGAAUAUUGGGCAAUGGGCGCAAGCCUGACCCAGCAACGCCGCGUGAGGGAAGAAUGUCUUCGGAUUGUAAACCUCUGUCCUUGGGGACGAAAAAAAUGACGGUACCCAAGGAGGAAGCUCCGGCUAACUACGUGCCAGCAGCCGCGGUAAUACGUAGGGAGCAAGCGUUGUCCGGAAUUAUUGGGCGUAAAGGGUGCGUAGGCGGCGCUGUAAGUCAGAUGUGAAAUCCCCGGGCUUAACUCGGGAGUUGCAUUUGAAACUACAGUGCUUGAGUAAAGAAGGGGUAAGUGGAAUUCCUAGUGUAGCGGUGGAAUGCGUAGAUAUUAGGAGGAACACCAGUGGCGAAGGCGACUUACUGGUCUUUUACUGGCGCUGAGGCACGAAAGCGUGGGGAGCAAACAGGAUUAGAUACCCGCGUAGUC
This 442-nucleotide ribosomal RNA is filed under the name uncultured bacterium. Its description in RNAcentral is "partial 16S ribosomal RNA". It matches the Rfam family "Bacterial small subunit ribosomal RNA", at positions 339 to 795 of the family's 1533-position model. The record is from RNAcentral.